This 83-nucleotide transfer RNA is filed under the name Fusibacter sp. 3D3. Its description in RNAcentral is "Fusibacter sp. 3-D3-R-P8ASC2010 tRNA". It matches the Rfam family "tRNA". From Rfam's summary of the family: Transfer RNA (tRNA) molecules are approximately 80 nucleotides in length. Lineage: Bacteria; Bacillati; Bacillota; Clostridia; Eubacteriales; Fusibacteraceae. The record is from Rfam by way of RNAcentral.
GCCGAAGUGGCGGAAUGGCAGACGCGUUAGUUUCAGGGACUAGUGAGUGAAAACUCGUACAGGUUCGAGUCCUGCCUUCGGCA